Long non-coding RNA from Sapajus apella (tufted capuchin), 1302 nucleotides. RefSeq lists it as uncharacterized. The transcript has 2 exons. Lineage: Eukaryota; Metazoa; Chordata; Mammalia; Primates; Cebidae. The record is from RefSeq and is a predicted model, not a curated record.
UGGAAAUGAAGGACCCGGUGCCGGGAUUGAAUCCAACAUCCGGGCUCUCGGCUGCGGGCUCUGAGGAGGGGGAGCGGGGGAACGCGGGCGACAUUUCCCGGGGGCGCGGGUGCGCAGCUGGGCGUCGGGAGCUCGGGCUGGACUGGGCUCCCGCGGCGGGUGUCCGCGCUGGCAGCCGGGGGAGGGGGCUUGUCCGUGAGAAACAGCCCCAGGAAAUUCCCAGGGCAAGGUCGUUUUCGGGGAACAAAGUCCUCCCGCCCCCUCCCCACGCCUGGAGCCGGACCAAAAGUCUUGGAGCGGUGAGAGGUGCCGCACUCCGGGAGCUGGAGAGAGGAGUUUGAGAUGGAGAAACUUUAAGAAGUAAAUGCCCAAACCAGCUCCUUGAACGUCCCACAAAAGAAUGAGAAAACCCAGAGGGAGGUGAACCACUAAAAUUGCUUUGCAAGCAAUGUCCGGCACCAUCAGCAACUCCUACUGGACUCCCAGGAGUUUGCAAUCGUUCUUAACCCCUUUGGAAGCUCCCUCCAGAUGCAAGUCCAACAGAUGAUGCUCUUGCUAUAGGGGAAAGACACAACUUAGUUUCGCGAGUUUUACUCAGAAACCGUUUCCCCAGCUUCUCGAGCUCUUUGUACCGGGAAGAGCUAAACAACUUCACCUGCUGAAGACUGACUAGUGAUGGAGAACGGUCCUCCUGCUUCCCGCUUUUGUUUCCACUUCCCCUAUUAAUGUCGAGUGCACUCCGUUCAGAAACAGCAAACCAGAGAAACUGCCUCGCUAGCAAAUUAAUGGGCUCAAAAAGUAAACGUCAAGAAGGCGUAGAUUAAAAUACCUUUUCCUGAUAAAAGACUAAGUCCGCGGUCUCAUCGUCCUGUCAAACUGUCUCAAACGCUUGGAAAGGGAACCCACAAGGCAGAUAACCUUUUGUUCAUUAAUAUAACUGGGAAACAAGAUAGGAGGCCUCAAGAAAGGGGUGGAACUCAGAAAGGAGUGAAAGCAGCAAAAUUUAGUCAGAUGCCAAAGGCUUGGCAGAAAAAAAAAAAAUUGGGAAAACCACUACAAUGUUUUUAACUAGUCAUCAUGGAGAAAUUGAUGCCUUGAGUCUCGUCUCUCUACUCUCCAAUUAUUUUUACUCACGGAUGUUCCAGAUAGUUCACUUGAAAGCAAUAUGAAUGUCCGGAGAGGAGGGAGUUUAUGUAAUAUGGUGUUGAAAAUAUAUAGGAAAAUGUUUUUAAUAAAAUAAGGAAUUGCUUGUUAGGGCACAAAACUGCGGAACUAGAUCUGCAGCUGUAAAAUUACGAGCUU